This 539-nucleotide ribosomal RNA is filed under the name Colletotrichum sp. ITCC 6165. Its description in RNAcentral is "eukaryotic LSU rRNA". The stretch from base 178 to 331 matches the Rfam family "5.8S ribosomal RNA". The record is from RNAcentral. Lineage: Eukaryota; Fungi; Ascomycota; Sordariomycetes; Glomerellales; Glomerellaceae.
AUUACUGAGUUUACGCUCUAUAACCCUUUGUGAACAUACCUAUAACUGUUGCUUCGGCGGGUAGGGUCCCCGUGACCCUCCCGGCCUCCCGCCCCCCGGGCGGGUCGGCGCCCGCCGGAGGAUAACCAAACUCUGAUUUAACGACGUUUCUUCUGAGUGGUACAAGCAAAUAAUCAAAACUUUUAACAACGGAUCUCUUGGUUCUGGCAUCGAUGAAGAACGCAGCGAAAUGCGAUAAGUAAUGUGAAUUGCAGAAUUCAGUGAAUCAUCGAAUCUUUGAACGCACAUUGCGCCCGCCAGCAUUCUGGCGGGCAUGCCUGUUCGAGCGUCAUUUCAACCCUCAAGCUCUGCUUGGUGUUGGGGCCCUACAGCUGAUGUAGGCCCUCAAAGGUAGUGGCGGACCCUCCCGGAGCCUCCUUUGCGUAGUAACUUUACGUCUCGCACUGGGAUCCGGAGGGACUCUUGCCGUAAAACCCCCAAUUUUCCAAAGGUUGACCUCGGAUCAGGUAGGAAUACCCGCUGAACUUAAGCAUAUCAAU